Long non-coding RNA from Aethalodelphis obliquidens (Pacific white-sided dolphin), 2779 nucleotides. RefSeq lists it as uncharacterized. The record is from RefSeq and is a predicted model, not a curated record. The transcript is spliced from 3 exons. NCBI's taxonomy places the organism in Eukaryota, Metazoa, Chordata, Mammalia, Artiodactyla, Delphinidae.
GUUAGGUCGGAUAAAUAAAGUCUCUUGGUAGAAACUGCAGAGAGACGUGAUGUCGUGGUCACUGGCGGGUCAACUCGGCCUUUCUAAGGAGAAGGGGAUGGGAUCUCCCCUCUGACUCCGCUCUCCGCUGGAGGGGGUCUGCGUGCCUGGGGCCGGCCCCACGUGCCCCUCUUCUCGCGGGACACGACUGCCCAGCCCCAGCGGCGGGUCUGCACUGUGCCAAGUGCAGCCCUGGCUUCUCUGUCCACGGCGGACGAGUGACCCGCCAGCCGCUGGGCCUCAUUCCUCCGGCAGGUGUAAGGCCUUCCUGGAGGCCCAGCAGGCACUAACGUCACAGAGAUGCGUCCCCAGAACCCACUAAGACAAAUGCGUGUGAGAAGAACAGAGCACGACCCUGCCCCUAUCUGUGUGGCUGUUCAGAAGCUGCGCGAACUUUUCACAGAUGGGAUUUCCCUCUUGGGAAGUCCCGGGAAGAGCAAGCCGGAAUGCCAGCGCAUCCUGGGCCGGCUAACUGCCUCCGAAUGAAAGCAUAGGAAACCUCCCGAGAAGGUCCCCGAACACAUGCUGCCUAACUGGUGCUGCCUGCCCCUCUCCACCGUGUGUCCACUUCUCUGGAGCUGUUCAGCCCGGAAGAGAGGCUUGUAUGCCAGCCAGGGGUGCUGCUUCCUCCAGGAAAACGGGGAGAAGUGACAGUUGUUUACUCUUUAUACUUCAUGCGUUAAUAUCGAUGACUUAUUUGACGAGCGAUCAGAGAAGCGGCCUGCGAGCUGACGGUCGUGCAGGCCAGCGCGCACGAGGAAUCUGCUGCAGCCCCAGAAGCAUUGAGACAGAGAACAGAUCUCUGGGCUUGGAAAGCGCGGGAAACGAUGGGAAAACCUGAGUCCUCUUCUCACCCUUCAGCUGUGGAAGAGGAACUUCACAGAAGAACUGGAAUGAGCCGUGCAGUAGAGAUCCUCGUCCUGCCUUGGGAUUAAAGGUGUUUAUAGGGGGGUCAAUGCCGUCUUCUCUUUGCCCUUAAGAAAAGUUUCACUCUCUAACAACUACUUUACCCAUAAAACGUUACUCAUUUUCAUUGUAUAAAAAUAUAAUUAAGCAAAAGAGGGGAAAGGGUGUCUCUAAUUCUAGACAAUCACUUUUAAAAUUUUAGUCUCGAUCUUUCCAUAAGCCUAUAUGUAAACAUACAGCUGAUGCGGUUUCACAAUGUGAUAUUAUGUCAUACAUCUUCGCCUAGACAGAGGCGACGCAGAACGGAGGUUAAAACACAGACUCUUAAGCCAGAAUUCCUGGCUUUGAAUGCUGGCUCUGUUAAUUAUUAGCUGUGCAGAUCCUAGGCAGAUAACUUAACUCCUCUGUGCCUCUGUUACUUCCUGGGUGAGAUGGGCAUAAUGGCAGCCCCUGCCUUGCCAGUUUGUUGGGAGGGUUACAUGAGGUGGUACAUACAGUAAGCGCUUAGAAUAGCCCCUGAAGUACCGGGAGCACGAGACACAGAGCCACUGCUGCUUCCGUUGUUCACUUAUCGUACUGUGAACAACUUCCCAAUAAAUACACACCAGUCUCGUCAUUCUAACGGCUGCUCCCUGAUUCUCCGUGAUGACACUCCUGCUGGUUAAAUAAGGAGAGUUGCAUCACAUGGCAUUUUACAACGUAUGCCUUGAACGGUACAUAGAUUUUGGAAUUAGAAAUGAGAAUUAGAAUUGAAUGCUUGAUAACAAACUGUCAGGAGACACUUCUCCCUGGGUCUCUGGCUUAUCUUAUUUCUGCUUAUCUUGUGAGCCUCAUGGGCACCAAGGGUCCUUAGUUCUGAAAUAUCUUUUCAAGGGUAUUUGUAGAGGGAAUGGCCUGAAAUUCAGAGACAGUGUCUGUCUUGGGAGCAAUAAGCCAACAUGCUUGCCGUCCGGUAGAUUAGAGACACUGUCCGGUAGAUUAGAGACACUGUCCGGUAGAUUAGAGACACUGUCCCGUAGAUUAGAGACACUGUCCCCUCCAGAGACAAAGGUUCAUGCUUGCUGUCUGUUAUGGGCUGAGUUGUGUCUCCCUAAAAUUCACAGGUUGAAAUCCCAACCCCCGCACCUUGGAAUGUGAGGUGUCCUUGCAGAUGUCAUUGGUUAAGCUGGAGUCAUUCUAGAACAGGGGCUCCCUAAUCCAAUACGACUGUGCCCUUAUAUAAAGGGGACAUUUGGACGCAGACGUACACACAGAGAGAUGCCACGUGAAGAUGAAGAGAUCGGGGUGAUGCUCCUACAAACCCAGGGACACUGAACAUGGCCAGCAAAGCCCCAGCAGCCAAGGGACAGCCUGGACCCUCAGAAGGAAGCAGCAGUGGUGACACCCUGGUAUCAGGCCUCUGGCCUCCGAAACAGUGGAACAGUACAUUUCUAAGCCCCUGGGUUUGCGGAGCUUUGUCACAGCAGUGCUAGCAAACGAAUACACUGCACUUUAGACAACGUUCAUGUUCCCUAAGCUCGGGUUCCUACAAGGCAACCCACUACGUGUGCGCGUGUCACCUGGGCCUUCGCGUCACCCUGCGGGGCCGGUACAGAUGCUGCCCGCUGCCAUCAUGGGAGGGACGCACUGCCUCUGUCUCUGGCCCAGGAGCCUCACGUCCUCUGCCAGAAUCCCCGAUACUGUGUCAGGCCGACCUGACGAUGUGCAAGUGGGGUCACACCUCAGCCCUUAAGACCUCUUGAUGUAAACCUCUAGAAGGGCCCAGAGUGAGUUUACUCUGACGUGAGCCAGAUGAGGUGGAUGGAGAAACACACACGCGCACACACACACACAC